RNAcentral lists this transfer RNA (72 nucleotides) under Streptomyces boetiae. Its description in RNAcentral is "Streptomyces sp. DSM 44917 tRNA-Gln". It matches the Rfam family "tRNA". Rfam says of the family: Transfer RNA (tRNA) molecules are approximately 80 nucleotides in length. The record is from RNAcentral. Lineage: Bacteria; Bacillati; Actinomycetota; Actinomycetes; Kitasatosporales; Streptomycetaceae. RNAcentral also lists the same sequence under 1 other name.
UCCCCUGUGGUGUAAUUGGCAGCACUGCGUCUUUUGGUGUCGUAUGUCCAGGUUCGAGUCCUGGCGGGGGAG